AUGCAGCCGGCCGUCUCGGGUCCUGCCCCACUGUGGCGUCUGGGACGUCUGUGCAGCCCUGGGCUCUGGAGUCACGGUGUGGAGCCAGCUCCACCCGAGCUGACCACCACGGGCAUGUCCUGUCUGCCGGGACAGGGGCCGCUCUCCUCGGCUCAGCCGCUGCCCCCGCUCCUUGCCCACAGCCCCCUGGGCCCGGCUCAUCCCCUCAGUGACCACACCCCUUCCCCUGGGUCCAUCCUCCCUCCCAGCCGGGGGGCUGCACCCCCCCAGGCACAGCCCCCAUCACUCCAGGCUAACAAGUGCAUCUGUGGCCUUUGCAGGGACCGUUCCCUCUGCCGGGAAUGCUUGUCCCCCUUUGUCCAGCCCUGCUGGCCCUUCCUUCGGGCCUGUGGCCCAACCUCCUGUCCAGGGAGUCAUCCCCCCGCGUGGAGUCCCCUGGCGGCCCUUCUACCACAAGCCUCAUGCCACAUGCCUCACGCGGUUUGCAGCCUGCCCGCCCGCCCCGGGCAGGACCCCACGUUGGGCAGCACCACGUGUGGGCACAGCACGUGGGGGGGGGCAGCCCGGGCCCAGUCCUGGCAGGCGGGUGGGUGGGUGGGUGCAGCCCAGGGAAACCAGGAAGGGGUGUGCCUUGUUCCCAAACAGGAAGAUGCGCCGAGCUGGCGUCACCGGGAGGGGGCUGUUGCAAUCCCGAGGGGCGUUUCCUCAGGCCGCGAGGCGAUUGGGAGCCCAGGAAGCCCGCGAGGACAGCCAGCGGCCGGGCAGGGCCUUCUCCCGGGAAAAUGAAUGCUGUGCCUCCCUGGACGCACUUUCACAGCUGAGGUUAAGGCAAAGGCCCAGGAGCUCUGCAGGUGGGUGUCCGCCUUCGGCUCAGGGCGCGACCCCGGCGUCCCGGGAUCGAGUCCUGCAUCCCCGCAGGGAGCCUGCUUCUCCCUCCGCCUGUGUCUCUGCCUCUCUCUGUGUCUCUCAUGAAUAAAUAAAUAAAAUCUUAAAAAAAAAAAAGAUAA
Molecule: long non-coding RNA, 1007 nt
Filed under: Vulpes vulpes (red fox)
Lineage: Eukaryota; Metazoa; Chordata; Mammalia; Carnivora; Canidae
Description: lncRNA (ENSVVUG00000022972.1)
Source: RNAcentral